This 253-nucleotide ribosomal RNA is filed under the name uncultured bacterium. Its description in RNAcentral is "partial 16S ribosomal RNA". It matches the Rfam family "Bacterial small subunit ribosomal RNA", at positions 524 to 776 of the family's 1533-position model. The record is from RNAcentral.
UACAGAGGUCUCAAGCGUUGUUCGGAAUCACUGGGCAUAAAGGGUGCGUAGGCGGCACGGUAAGUCAGAGGUGAAAUCCCGGAGCUCAACUUCGGAAUUGCCUCCGAUACUGCCGUGCUUGAGGACUGGAGAGGAGAUUGGAAUUCACAGUGGAGCAGUGAAAUGCGUAGAUAUUGUGAGGAACACUAGUGGCGAAGGCGAAUCUCUGGACAGUUCCUGACGCUGAGGCACGAAGGCCAGGGGAGCAAACGGG